This 77-nucleotide transfer RNA is filed under the name Spongiactinospora rosea. RNAcentral's name for it is "Sphaerisporangium sp. LHW63015 tRNA-Leu". It matches the Rfam family "tRNA". Rfam says of the family: Transfer RNA (tRNA) molecules are approximately 80 nucleotides in length. Their secondary structure includes four short double-helical elements and three loops (D, anti-codon, and T loops). Lineage: Bacteria; Bacillati; Actinomycetota; Actinomycetes; Streptosporangiales; Streptosporangiaceae. The record is from RNAcentral.
GGGGCCGUAGCCCAACGGCAGGAGGCGGCGAUUUUAGGUGUCGUACAGUCCGGGUUCGAAUCCCGGCGGCCCCACGA